GACGAACGCUGGCGGCGUGCUUAACACAUGCAAGUCGAGCGGAGCGGCGAACGGGUGAGUAACGCGUGAGUAACUGCCCCCCUCUCUGGGAUAACAGUUGGAAACGGCUGCUAAUACCGGAUAGUGGGGGAUGACUUGCGUCCUAUCAGCUUGUUGGUGGGGUAGGUGCCUACCAAGGAGACGACGGGUAGCCGGCCUGAGAGGGCGACCGGCAACAUAGGGCUGAGGUAGGGCCCAAAGUCGUACGGGAGGCAGAAGUGGGGAAUAUUGCACAAUGGGGGAAACCCUGAUGCAGCAACGACGGGUGCGGGAGGACGGGCUGCGGGUUGUAAACCGCUUUCAGCCAUGACGCGGUAGUGGAAGAAGAAGCACCGGCUAACUACGUGCCAGCAGCCGCGGUAAUAC
Molecule: ribosomal RNA, 405 nt
Filed under: uncultured bacterium
Lineage: Bacteria
Description: partial 16S ribosomal RNA
Rfam family: Bacterial small subunit ribosomal RNA
Source: RNAcentral